Molecule: non-coding RNA, 148 nt
Filed under: Bacillus solimangrovi
Lineage: Bacteria; Bacillati; Bacillota; Bacilli; Caryophanales; Bacillaceae
Description: FMN sequence
Rfam family: FMN riboswitch aptamer (RFN element)
About the family: The RFN element is a highly conserved domain that is found frequently in the 5'-untranslated regions of prokaryotic mRNAs that encode for flavin mononucleotide (FMN) biosynthesis and transport proteins. This element is a metabolite-dependent riboswitch that directly binds FMN in the absence of proteins.
Source: Rfam by way of RNAcentral
GUAUUCCUUCGGGGCAGGGUGGAAAUCCCUACCGGCGGUGAUGAAACGAAUUGUUUCUUAGUCCGUGACCCGUCUGCUAGUAUUGCAGCCGGUGGACCUGGUGAAACUCCGGGACCGACAGUUAAAGUCUGGAUGGGAGAAGGAAAAA